Molecule: ribosomal RNA, 253 nt
Filed under: uncultured bacterium
Lineage: Bacteria
Description: partial 16S ribosomal RNA
Rfam family: Bacterial small subunit ribosomal RNA
Source: RNAcentral
UACAGAGGGCGCGAGCGUUAAUCGGAUUCACUGGGCGUAAAGGGCGCGUAGGCGGUUAUAUGAGUGUGAUGUGAAAGCCCUGGGCUUAACCUAGGAAGUGCAUCGCAAACGAUAUGACUGGAGUAUUGGAGAGGGUAGCGGAAUUUCCGGUGUAGCGGUGAAAUGCGUAGAGAUCGGAAGGAACGUCAAUGGCGAAGGCAGCUACCUGGCCAAAUACUGACGCUGAGGCGCGAAAGCGUGGGGAGCAAACAGG